This 255-nucleotide ribosomal RNA is filed under the name uncultured bacterium. RNAcentral describes it as "partial 16S ribosomal RNA". It matches the Rfam family "Bacterial small subunit ribosomal RNA", at positions 524 to 775 of the family's 1533-position model. The record is from RNAcentral.
UACGGAGGGAGCUAGCGUUGUUCGGAAUUACUGGGCGUAAAGCGCGCGUAGGCGGCUUUGUAAGUUAGAGGUGAAAGCCCGGAGCUCAACUCCGGAACUGCCUUUAAGACUGCAUCGCUUGAAUCCAGGAGAGGUGAGUGGAAUUCCGAGUGUAGAGGUGAAAUUCGUAGAUAUUCGGAAGAAACACCAGUGGCGAAGGCGGCUCACUGGACUGGUAUUGAACGCUGAGGUGGCGAAAGCGUGGGGAGCAACAGG